Photinus pyralis (common eastern firefly) is the source of this 1040-nucleotide long non-coding RNA. RefSeq lists it as uncharacterized. The record is from RefSeq and is a predicted model, not a curated record. Lineage: Eukaryota; Metazoa; Arthropoda; Insecta; Coleoptera; Lampyridae. The transcript has 2 exons.
UUUAAACGAGGAUAACAUAUUUUUUUCGCUUGCUCCCCCAAACGCAAGUUUCAAUUGUGUCGCGUCAUUUUUGUUGGGGGCCGAGCGCGAAUUAAAUUUAUUUUUGAUUAGGAUUUGCAUUUCGUGAUUAAUUGGCACUGCCUGCUAUCGCGAUGCAGUAUUUGGCAUGAUACGGGGUUGCAUAAUGAGUGGAUGCCACCAGAGUAAAGUGUUAUUUUCGAGUUCAGCCCAGCUGAAAUUGUAUUGUUGGAUUGUUCGGACGUUCUCUCUUAUUGUGUCUUGGUUUACUGCUUCCUAAACGUCUCUAAACGGAUGCGACCAAUUGGAGAUUGAUGCAUGCAAUUAGACCCGAUUAAGUGCUUUUGAUUUUGUGCUUUUUUUUGUGUUUGAGUGCCUAACUGUUUCAUUCAUUUCAGUGCAGUUCUGUUUGUUAUCGCUUACAAAUGUUUAUGUAAAUGCAUGCCGUAAUUUGCACAUAUUUAGUGAUUCAUUAAUGCGCACGUAACGACAUGACCUUGCCCUGUGACGUAAGGCUAUUAAAGGGUAGUAUAAGUUUUCCUUAAUAUCUGCGUCAGUUUUCCUCUACGUGUGUAGACGUGUUGUAAUUAGCAAAUCUAUUAACUUCCCGGUCAUCUUUUUUAAGUUAUUUAGUUGUGCACCUUUUGUCGUAACAGCGGAGCACCAUUUCAGUAACUCAGUUUGUGCUUUCGGUGGGGCAUUGUCACUUAUCAGCACGAGCACCGUAUCCGCUUCCUUGGCCAACCUUUUUUACUUUUGAGUUCUGGGUUGCGUGCCAGAAGCGCGUUUACACUGGGCAUGUAGUGAAAUCUGUAAAUGCACUUUCUGGUACGACAUACCAGGACGUGCAAUCACACAUCUUUCUUUUUAUUAUUAGUUAUUGUGUACUCUUGGGCGUUUGUUAAUUAGUUAGUGUUGUGUAGUUUUAUUAUUGUUGUACUUUAAACAUGCAAUCUGUCUUAUCUUAUUGGAAAGUCUCGCGCUGUUCUAGAAUUAUGUUAAAUAUACUUCAUUGUUGCAUA